This is a long non-coding RNA of Haliotis rubra (blacklip abalone), 117 nucleotides long. RefSeq lists it as uncharacterized. The transcript has 3 exons. The record is from RefSeq and is a predicted model, not a curated record. Lineage: Eukaryota; Metazoa; Mollusca; Gastropoda; Lepetellida; Haliotidae.
GUUUGACAACACAUGUUAAAAUUUUAAAAGUUGUGAAACUCGAGUUUUCACAUGUCAAACAAAUGUUGUCAAACUUUCUUGUCAUUUGAGCGCUAUCCCAUUUCUGGACAAUAGUUU